Molecule: ribosomal RNA, 485 nt
Filed under: uncultured bacterium
Lineage: Bacteria
Description: partial 16S ribosomal RNA
Rfam family: Bacterial small subunit ribosomal RNA
Source: RNAcentral
GAUGAACGCUAGCGAUAGGCUUAACACAUGCAAGUCGAGGGGCAGCGAGGGUAGCAAUACCUGUCGGCGACCGGCGCACGGGUGAGUAACGCGUAUGUAACCUGCCCGCAACAGGGGGAUAACCCGGCGAAAGUCGGACUAAUACCGCAUAAAACAGGGGUCCCGCAUGGGAAUAUUUGUUAAAGAUUUAUCGGUUGCGGAUGGGCAUGCGUACCAUUAGGUAGUUGGUGAGGUAACGGCUCACCAAGCCUUCGAUGGUUAGGGGUUCUGAGAGGAAGGUCCCCCACGCUGGUACUGAGACACGGACCAGACUCCUACGGGAGGCAGCAGUGAGGAAUAUUGGUCAAUGGGCGAGAGCCUGAACCAGCCAAGUCGCGUGAAGGAUGACUGCCCUAUGGGUUGUAAACUUCUUUUACAAGGGAAUAAAAUGAGAUACGUGUAUUUUAUUGCAUGUACCUUGGGAAUAAGCAUCGGCUAACUCCGUG